GCCUGAUGCAGCGACGCCGCGUGAGGGAUGACGGCCUUCGGGUUGUAAACCUCUUUCAGUAGGGACGAAGCGAAAGUGACGGUACCUACAGAAGAAGGACCGGCCAACUACGUGCCAGCAGCCGCGGUAAUACGUAGGGUCCGAGCGUUGUCCGGAAUUACUGGGCGUAAAGAGCUCGUAGGUGGUUUGUCACGUUGUUCGUGAAAACCCACAGCUUAACUGUGGGCGUGCGGGCGAUACGGGCAGACUAGAGUACUGCAGGGGAGACUGGAAUUCCUGGUGUAGCGGUGGAAUGCGCAGAUAUCAGGAGGAACACCGGUGGCGAAGGCGGGUCUCUGGGCAGUAACUGACGCUGAGGAGCGAAAGCGUGGGUAGCGAACAGGAUUAGAUACCCUGGUAGUCCACGCCGUAAACGGUGGGUACUAGGUGUGGGUUUCCUUCCUUGGGAUCCGUGCCGUAGCUAACGCAUUAAGUACCCCGCCUGGGGAGUACGGUCGCAAGACUAAAACUCAAAGGAAUUGACGGGGGCCCGCACAAGCGGCGGAGCAUGUGGAUUAAUUCGAUGCAACGCGAAGAACCUUACCUGGGUUUGACAUGCGCAGGACGUAUCUAGAGAUAGGUAUUCCCUUGUGGCC
This 635-nucleotide ribosomal RNA is filed under the name Mycobacterium sp. So1Pw_1130. Its description in RNAcentral is "bacterial SSU rRNA". It matches the Rfam family "Bacterial small subunit ribosomal RNA", at positions 381 to 1028 of the family's 1533-position model. Lineage: Bacteria; Bacillati; Actinomycetota; Actinomycetes; Mycobacteriales; Mycobacteriaceae. The record is from RNAcentral.